AUUGAACGCUGGCGGCAGGCCUAACACAUGCAAGUCGAGCGGAUGAAGGGAGCUUGCUCCUGGAUUCAGCGGCGGACGGGUGAGUAAUGCCUAGGAAUCUGCCUGGUAUUUGGGGAUAACGUCCGGAAACGGGCGCUAAUACCGCAUACGUCCAGAGGGAGAAAGUGGGGGAUCUUCGGACCUCACGCUAUCAGAUGAGCCUAGGUCGGAUUAGCUAGUUGGUGGGGUAAAGGCCUACCAAGGCGACGAUCCGUAACUGGUCUGAGAGGAUGAUCAGUCACACUGGAACUGAGACACGGUCCAGACUCCUACGGGAGGCAGCAGUGGGGAAUAUUGGACAAUGGGCGAAAGCCUGAUCCAGCCAUGCCGCGUGUGUGAAGAAGGUCUUCGGAUUGUAAAGCACUUUAAGUUGGGAGGAAGGGCAGUAAGUUAAUACCUUGCUGUUUUGACGUUACCAACAGAAUAAGCACCGGCUAACUUCGUG
Molecule: ribosomal RNA, 484 nt
Filed under: uncultured bacterium
Lineage: Bacteria
Description: partial 16S ribosomal RNA
Rfam family: Bacterial small subunit ribosomal RNA
Source: RNAcentral